Molecule: long non-coding RNA, 1021 nt
Organism: Sarcophilus harrisii (Tasmanian devil)
Lineage: Eukaryota; Metazoa; Chordata; Mammalia; Dasyuromorphia; Dasyuridae
Exons: 3
Source: RefSeq, a predicted model, not a curated record
UCCAAGAAAAUGAUCCUGGAGUAAUAGAACAUGAGGAGAAAGCAGAAAUAGAAAAAAUUCACCCAUCACCACCUCCAGGAGAGCCUUUGUGAAAACACAUAGGGACAUUAUCACCAAACUGAAAAUCUCAGAUCAAAGAGAAAAUUUUCAAGAAACAAGGAAAAACCAAUAGAAAUAAGCUAGAGCUACAGUUAGAAUGGUACAGUCCUAAUGAGCAAUUAAAGACCCCAGGUGCUGCAAUCACAUCUACUUACUGACAAUCUAAAGAAACAAGCCUGAGGCCAGGAAUCAUCAUAUAGAGAGAGCAAAAUUAUCUCUAAUAUUGAACCAGAAGACAUAGAGAUUCAAGGAAAUUGCAGAUCUUCAAGGCUUUUUAUGGUGAGUGGGCACAGCACUGGGCCAUGGAGAGGGUGACUAGGACUUGGAGCCCCCCUCCAAGUACCCUCCCAGGGGGUGGGUGGGGUGGGUGGGGUGGGUGGGGUGGGUGAAUGAACUUGGGGCCUGACGUCACCAGGUGCAGUCCCGGCCCUGGCGUCCCUAUAAAAGGAGGACUACUAGGCCGGCUACCUGUCAGAGCGAGCUAGACAGCGCCCAGAUCGGACGUGUUCAGACUUGCUCUUUGGACGUUGCGGUAUUUUGGCGUUUCCAGCCCGGAGUACCAGAAAGCUGGACUCCACUGUUGGAGCUGCGCCCGGAACAGGGAAGGAGCCUUGCAUGAGUGGAAAUUCACACGAGUGAACAGCGCUUCUGUGGAAGGUUGCCCACUUCGAUACGGAUGUGCUGUUCAGGAAGAUGGUGAGCCAAAAAUUUGAAUCGCUUCUCCCUCAUGGACCCAUGCAAUCCUGGUCCUCUCCAGAUCCUCACAAAAAUCCUGGGAAAAAGGUGUUAUUAUUCCCAAUGUGAGUAAGUUUUCAGAACUACAAGUCCUUCUUCCCCCUCUAACCUCUAAAAUGCUAAUGCCUAUUCUCCUCUUCACCUCAUUUGUGUUACAUUAUUAUUUUUACCUUAACUCCACCCCAAU